RNAcentral lists this long non-coding RNA (1204 nucleotides) under Sus scrofa (pig). RNAcentral's name for it is "lncRNA (ENSSSCG00070014875.1)". Lineage: Eukaryota; Metazoa; Chordata; Mammalia; Artiodactyla; Suidae. The record is from RNAcentral.
GCCAUUUGGGGAUAUUUUCUUGGGAACCUCCUGAUCUGUUGGGAAGAGGAGGGGCUGGGGCUCCUCAUUAACAGGACUGAGACCCGAGACUCAGAGUGAAGUCUCGAUUGUGUAUCAUGAAGUUGGAACCCAGAACUCCCCCCGCACCUCCAUCCCUGCCAAGAGGCCUCCAGAGUCCCAGUCUGUCAUCAGAUGACGGGACCGCGUCUGGCAUGUCCCACAGAUGCGCAGGGAUCAACCCCCACCCUGCGUCGUGGGCGUCCUUACUCCCAACACAGCCACUCGUGUUCGGAAUCCGAGGGGUCUGUACCCCUGUGAGGUCAACGGGGUCAUCUCACGGCUCAGGAAGAUUCUGGUUUCUGCUAAUGAACCUAGCCAAUGACACUCAGAAGUGUAGUCUCUGGGGAGAACCAUCCUUCCCUGAAAACCAGCAGAAGUCCUAAGAAGAGAAAGCCCUUCAUGCCUCACCAUUCGUCUUGCGCAUUUGGAUGGAUUUGCUGGAGGUGCAAGCAGCCGUCUUGUGAUUCUGAAGCAAGAGUCAUUAGGAGAAGACAAGGAACUUGGAGAGACACUAGCCAAGCUUCUGAACCAAGGCCAGUGGCCACUGACCUCUGCAUGUCUAAAUCUGUUCACUGAGGUUACUCUUAGGCAAUAUCUUCUUAGCUAGUACAUGUGUGUAAAGUUAUUUCCUAAGCAUUUAACUUUUUGAUGAUAAAGUGAUAUGCCAGAUAAGAAGAAAGAAAUAUUAAACUGCCUGCAUUUCAAAAAAAGCACUCAGGGAGUUCCUGUCAUUGCUCAGUGGUUAAUGAAUCCGACUAGGAACCAUGAGGUUGUGGGUUCGAUCCCUGGCCUUGCUCAAUGGGUUAAGGAUCCAGUGUUGCCGUGAGCUGUGGUGUAGGUCGCAGAUGCAGUUCAAAUCUGGCAUUGCUGUGGCUGUGGUGUAGGCCAGCGGCUGCAGCAGCUCCGAUUCGACCCCUGGCCUGGGAACCUCCAUAUGCUGCAGGUGCGGCCCUAAAAAACAAAAAGACAAAAAAAAAAAAAAAAGGCGCUUAGUAUGAAAGUACUUACCUCUAAAAAAUUGCCCAAAAUUCAACUCUUUUUUUUUUUUUUUUCUGUUUGUGAUUCAAACCGAUUUAAUCACGUAGUAGCUGCCUGUGACUACAUUGUUGUCAAUCGGAUGGUUUUGUGCCUUUUCAGCAUUUGA